Molecule: ribosomal RNA, 757 nt
Filed under: uncultured bacterium
Lineage: Bacteria
Description: bacterial SSU rRNA
Rfam family: Bacterial small subunit ribosomal RNA
Source: RNAcentral
AGAGUUUGAUCCUGGCUCAGAAUCAACGCUGGCGGCGCGCCUAACACAUGCAAGUCGAACGAGAAAGUGGAGCAAUCCAUGAGUAAAGUGGCGUACGGGUGAGUAACACGUGGAUCAUCUGCCUUUUAGUGAGGAAUAACCAUGGGAAACCGUGGCUAAUACCGCAUAAGCCCGAGAGGGGAAAGUCGAAAGACGCUGAAAGAGGAGUCCGCGGCCGAUUAGCUGGUUGGUAGGGUAAAAGCCUACCAAGGCAAAGAUCGGUAGCCGGCCUGAGAGGGCACACGGCCACACUGGCACUGAAACACGGGCCAGACUCCUACGGGAGGCAGCAGUGGGGAAUCUUGCACAAUGGGGGAAACCCUGAUGCAGCGACGCCGCGUGAGCGAUGAAGCCCUUCGGGGUGUAAAGCUCUUUCGGCAGGGAAGAUUAUGACGGUACCUGCAGAAGCAGCUGCGGCUAACUACGUGCCAGCAGCCGCGGUAAUACGUAGGCAGCGAGCGUUGUUCGGAGUUACUGGGCGUAAAGGGUGUGUAGGCGGUUGUUUAAGUUUGGUGUGAAAUCUCCCGGCUCAACUGGGAGGGUGCGCCGAAUACUGAAUGACUUCGAGUGCGGGAGAGGAAAGUGGAAUUCCUGGUGUAGCGGUGAAAUGCGUAGAUAUCAGGAGGAACACCGGUGGUGUAGACGGCUUUCUGGACCGUAACUGACGCUGAGACACGAAAGCGUGGGUAGCAAACAGGAUUAGAUACCCCUGUAGUCC